GUGACUGUUGAUAAAUCAAAAUAAAUAAAUAUAAAAGCAUUUAAAAAAAAGAAAUGCUUACUGAUUAAGAGAGUUUUCAUUCUUUGUAUUCAUAUUCCCCAGUGCCUAGCACAGUGUCUGACAUAUAGUAAGUGCUUCAUACGACGGCUGUUGGAUAAGGGGGAGAGAGAAACUGAACAUCAUCAAUGUUAGGUCAAGGAUUUCUGACCUCCUUGAAGACGGGUUCAGUCCCAGGCCUUUUCUUAUUUUGGUGGAUAUGUUGCUGGGCCCUUGCCAAACCCUUCUUGUCAAAUGAAAAUACUGAGAGAGGAGAUUGUCUCUGCAAUUCUUUUUUAUUUGCCUAUUUGCCUUAUGUCAGAGGUUCCCAAACUUAUUUGGCCUAUUGCCCCCUUUAAAAAAAAUUACUCAAUGCCUCCCCUAGAAAUCUACUUUAAAAAAAAAGCCAACUGGGGUUAAGUGACUUGCCCAGGGUCACACAGCUAAUAAGUGUCAAGUGUUUGGUCUGGGGCCGGAUUUGAACUCAGGUCCUCUUGACUUCAGGGCCAGUGCUCUAUCCACUCACUGUGCCACCUAACUGCCCCAAGAAAUCUACUUUCUUUAACAGUGUUUUUAAAAUUUGCAUCAUUUCAAAAAAAGUAUAAAUUUUUUUUUUAAAAAAUGAUGCAUCUUAAAUCUAAUAAUUUACUGUAAAUUUGUGGGUUUUUUUUUCCUGCAUUGAAAUUUUGAUGACACAAUAUCUACUGCGCCAUCUAUCUGUGAAUAUUUUUUACAUGACACCUAAUCUGUUUCCACCAAGGAGAAAGAGGACUACUAGUGUUAAUGGUAGAAGGAAAUAGUGAGAACAGAGCAAGACUAGGGGACUUUGUUGUCCUUCUAACAUUAGUUGGAAUUACCUUUACUUCCCAGAGAGGGAAUAUUAUAGGAAGAAGGGAUAGAAAACCAAUGAGUGAUACUCUCUUUCCUCAGAAGAAAAGAUAGUGUCUGAGCUCUAGGGAUUCAGAUUCAGGGUAACCCAGAUGGGAUCAGCU
This 1028-nucleotide long non-coding RNA is filed under the name Phascolarctos cinereus (koala). RNAcentral's name for it is "lncRNA (ENSPCIG00000024885.2)". The record is from RNAcentral. Lineage: Eukaryota; Metazoa; Chordata; Mammalia; Diprotodontia; Phascolarctidae.